UACGAAGGGGGCUAGCGUUGCUCGGAAUCACUGGGCGUAAAGCGCACGUAGGCGGCUUCUUAAGUCAGGGGUGAAAUCCUGGAGCUCAACUCCAGAACUGCCUUUGAUACUGAGGAGCUUGAGUCCGGGAGAGGCGAGUGGAAUUCCUGGUGUAGCGGUGAAAUGCGCAGAUAUCAGGAGGAACACCGAUUGCGAAGGCAGCUCGCUGGGACGUCACUGACGCUGAGAUGCGAAAGCGUGGGGAGCAAACAGG
RNAcentral lists this ribosomal RNA (253 nucleotides) under uncultured bacterium. RNAcentral's name for it is "partial 16S ribosomal RNA". It matches the Rfam family "Bacterial small subunit ribosomal RNA", at positions 524 to 776 of the family's 1533-position model. The record is from RNAcentral.